This 460-nucleotide ribosomal RNA is filed under the name uncultured bacterium. RNAcentral describes it as "partial 16S ribosomal RNA". It matches the Rfam family "Bacterial small subunit ribosomal RNA", at positions 338 to 795 of the family's 1533-position model. The record is from RNAcentral.
CCUACGGUAGGCAGCAGUGAGGAAUAUUGGUCAAUGGGCGCGAGCCUGAACCAGCCAAGUCGCGUGAAGGAUGACUGCCCUACGGGUUGUAAACUUCUUUUAUAAAGGAAUAAAGUGAGGCACGUGUGCCUUUUUGUAUGUACUUUAUGACUAAGGAUCGGCUAACUCCGUGCCAGCAGCCGCGGUAAUACGGAGGAUCCGAGAGUUAUCCGGCUUUAUUGGGUUUAAAGGGAGCGUCGAUGGGUUGUUAAGUCAGUUGUGAAAGUGUGCGGCUCAACCGUAAAAUUGCAAUUGAUACUGGCAGUCGUGAGUACAGUUGAGGUAGGCGGAAUUCGUGGUGUAGCGGUGAAAUGCUUAGAUAUCACGAAGAACUCCGAUUGCGAAGGCAGCUUACUAAACUGCCACUGACAUUGAUGCGCGAAAGUGUGGGUAUCAAACAGGAGUAGAUACCCGUGUAGUC